Molecule: ribosomal RNA, 303 nt
Filed under: Asterionellopsis glacialis
Lineage: Eukaryota; Bacillariophyta; Plagiogrammaphyceae; Rhaphoneidales; Asterionellopsidaceae
Description: partial Bacterial small subunit ribosomal RNA
Rfam family: Bacterial small subunit ribosomal RNA
Source: RNAcentral
GAGCAAACAGGAUUAGAUACCCUGGUAGUCCACGCCCUAAACGAUGUCAACUGGUUGUUGGGUCUUCACUGACUCAGUAACGAAGCUAACGCGUGAAGUUGACCGCCUGGGGAGUACGGCCGCAAGGUUAAAACUCAAAUGAAUUGACGGGGGCCCGCACAAGCGGUGGAGCAUGUGGUUUAAUUCGAAGCAACGCGCAGAACCUUACCAACCCUUGACAUCCUGUGCUACAUCCAGAGAUGGAUGGUUCCCUUCGGGGACGCAGUGACAGGUGCUGCAUGGCUGUCGUCAGCUCGUGUCGUG